AGGGACUUAGGUUAAAACAAGACCAAGGGCCUUCAAAGCCCUAAGUGAGGGUGGAAGUCCCCCAGUCCCUGA
Molecule: transfer RNA, 72 nt
Filed under: Sebastes ruberrimus (yelloweye rockfish)
Lineage: Eukaryota; Metazoa; Chordata; Actinopteri; Perciformes; Sebastidae
Description: tRNA-Trp
Rfam family: tRNA
About the family: Transfer RNA (tRNA) molecules are approximately 80 nucleotides in length. Their secondary structure includes four short double-helical elements and three loops (D, anti-codon, and T loops). Further hydrogen bonds mediate the characteristic L-shaped molecular structure. tRNAs have two regions of fundamental functional importance: the anti-codon, which is responsible for specific mRNA codon recognition, and the 3' end, to which the tRNAs corresponding amino acid is attached (by aminoacyl-tRNA synthetases). tRNAs cope with the degeneracy of the genetic code in two manners: having more than one tRNA (with a specific anti-codon) for a particular amino acid; and 'wobble' base-pairing, i.e. permitting non-standard base-pairing at the 3rd anti-codon position.
Source: RNAcentral